AUGGCGUACCCGUAUGUCUUCCACGCGCAGGCGCCACCGGCCAGAGCGGAGGAGUACAAGUCCAAGGGCGCAAUGCCGCAGCCACAGGUCAGGCCCCAGUGGCCUGCCGGCAGCGGCAGCGGUGCCGGGCGUGGGCGUGGCGGCGGCGGAGCCGGGUGGAUGGGUCUUGGCUCCCGGGAGAGGCCGCUCGCGAGUGCUUAUGAUCUCGUGGAGCAGAUGCAUUACCUGUACGUGCGCGUCGUCAAGGCGCGCGGGAUCCCCGUGGGCGCGGUCACCGGCGGCUGCAGCCCCUACGUCGAGGUGCGCCUCGGCAACUACCGCGGCACGACGCCGCACCAGGAGAGGAAGUCGAAUCCAGAGUGGAACCAGGUGUUCGCCUUCUCCAGGGAGCGCGUCCAGGCCACGGCCCUCGAGGUGUUCGUCAGGGACAGGGACGCCGUGGCGCGCGACGACUACGUCGGCAGGAUCGCGUUCGACAUCAGCGAGGUGCCGCUGCGCGUGCCGCCCGACAGCCCGCUCGCGCCGCAGUGGUACCGCCUCGAGAGCGUGCGCCACGGCGGCAAGAUGCUGCUGCCGACCGAGGUCAUGCUCGCGGUGUGGGUCGGCACGCAGGCCGACGAGGCGUUCGGGGACGCAUGGCACGCCGACGCGGCGUCGGUGCGCGGUGGCGCUGAUGGUGCGGCCGCGGUGCAGAGCACGCGGUCCAAGGUGUACGUGACGCCGAAGCUGUGGUACCUCCGGAUAAACGUGCUGGAGGCACAGGACGUCGUGACGGGCGGCUUCGUCGGCGACAAGGUCCGGCAGCAGCACGUCGAGGUCUUCGCCAAGGUGCAAGUCGGCGGCAUGAUGCUCCGGACCAAGCCGUGCGCCAUGAGGAAUCCGACAAGCCUGGCGUGGAACGAGGAGCUGGUCUUCGUUGUGGCGGAGCCGUUCGAGGAUCCGGCGGUGCUCAUCGUCGAGGCCCGGGCGCACCCCGGCAAGGACGAGAUCGUCGGGCGUGCCGUGCUGCCGCUCACCAUCUUCGAGAAGCGCCUCGACCGCGUGGCGAUCCACUCGCAGUGGUUCAGCCUGGAGCCGUUCGGGCAUCCGUUGCGCCGGCCGGAAGCCACUUUCGCCGGCCGCGUCCACCUCCGGGCGUGCCUCGAGGGCGCGUACCACGUCAUGGACGAGCCGACCAUGUACGUCAGCGACACGCGCCCGACGGCGCGGCAGCUGUGGCGGCCGCCCGUCGGCGUGCUCGAGGUCGGCGUCCUCGGCGCGCAGGGGCUCACUCCCAUGAAGACCGCCGACGGGCGGGGCACCACCGACGCCUACUGCGUGGCCAAGUACGGGCAGAAGUGGGUGCGCACGCGCACCGUCGUCGACUCGUGCAGCCCCCGGUGGAACGAGCAGUACACGUGGGAGGUCUACGACCCCUGCACGGUGCUCACGCUCGCCAUGUUCGACAACUGCCACCUCGGCAAAGCCAAUGCCGCCGCCGGCAACGCCGUCCUCAGAGACCAGGUGAUGGGCAAGGUGAGGAUACGCCUCUCCACGCUGGAGAUGGACAAGGUGUACACCAACGCGCACCCGCUCGUCGUGCUGCACCCGUCCGGCGUGCGCAAGAACGGCGAGCUCUGCCUCGCCGUGCGCCUCACCUCCGUCUCUCUCGCCAGCGUCGUGUGCCUGUACGGGAAGCCCCUCCUCCCCAAGAUGCACUACGUCCAGCCGUUCGCCAUCCCGCAGCUCGACGCGCUCCGGCGCCAGGCGAUGAGCAUCGUGGCGGCGCGGCUGAGCCGGGCCGAGCCGCCGCUGCGGCGGGAGGUCGUGGAGUACAUGCUGGACGCGGGCUCGCACCUGUGGAGCAUGCGGCGGAGCAAGGCCAACUUCCUCCGGGUCACGGCGCUGCUGUCCGGCGCGGCCAGCAUGGCGCGGUGGCUCGUGGACGUGUGCCACUGGAGGAACCCGGUCACCACCGUGCUGGUGCACUUGCUCUUCGUCACGCUCAUGUGCUUCCCAGAGCUCAUCCUCCCGACCGUGUUCCUGUACAUGGCCAUGACCGGCCUCUGGAACUACCGGCGCCGGCCCCGCCGGCCGUCGAGCAUGGACGCGAGGCUCUCCUGCGCGGAGGCGACCCACCCUGACGAGAUCGACGAGGAGCUGGACACGUUCCCGACGUCGAAGCCGAACGACGUGGUGCGGCUGCGGUACGACCGGCUGCGGAGCGUGGCCGGGCGGAUCCAGACGGUGGUCGGCGACGUGGCGACGCAGGGGGAGAGGGUGCGGUCGCUGCUGGCGUGGAGGGACCCGAGGGCGACGGCGCUGUUCACGGCGCUCUGCCUCGUCGCCGCCGUGACGCUGUACGUCACGCCGCUCCGGGGCGUGGCGCUCGUCGCCGGGCUGUACGCGCUCCGCCACCCGCGGUUCCGGAGCCGGACGCCGUCGGCCGCCGGCAACUUCUUCAAGAGGCUGCCCUCCAGGGCCGACACCAUGCUGUAG
This 2478-nucleotide ribosomal RNA is filed under the name Triticum aestivum (bread wheat). RNAcentral describes it as "partial small subunit ribosomal RNA". The record is from RNAcentral. Lineage: Eukaryota; Viridiplantae; Streptophyta; Magnoliopsida; Poales; Poaceae.